Molecule: ribosomal RNA, 686 nt
Filed under: Hexaspora pubescens
Lineage: Eukaryota; Viridiplantae; Streptophyta; Magnoliopsida; Celastrales; Celastraceae
Description: eukaryotic LSU rRNA
Rfam family: 5.8S ribosomal RNA (bases 280-435)
Source: RNAcentral
UUUCCGUAGGUGAACCUGCGGAAGGAUCAUUGUCGAAACCUGCAAGGCAGAAUGACCAGCGAAUCGGUGAAAUACAAAAUGCGGGGACGGCCCUCCAGGCUUGUUGCCCGAAGUCCCGGUGAGGGAUGUUGGGGGAAACUCCACGGCCUCUAUUGUGGAUGCAAACAACAAACACCCGGCGCAAAUUGCGCCAAGGAAUCGGAGAGAAGAUGCGUGCUCCCCUUGUCCCAGAAACGGUGCCCAUGGGGGUCGCGUUGUCGUCAUUACCAAUAUUUGAACGACUCUCGGCAACGGAUAUCUCGGCUCUCGCAUCGAUGAAGAACGUAGCGAAAUGCGAUACUUGGUGUGAAUUGCAGAAUCCCGUGAACCAUCGAGUUUUUGAACGCAAGUUGCGCCCUAAGCCGUCAGGCCGAGGGCACGCUUGCCUGGGUGUCACGCAAUGUCGCUAAAUAUGCCCUCGCUCCUUCCAUCGGGGAACAAAUGAGGGCUGGCGGAUAUUGGCCUCCCGUGCGCGGCCUUGUUCGCGGUUGGCCCGAAGGAAUGCCCCCCCGACGCGGCAGCCACGACACACGGUGGUUGGCAGCAUACGCUCCUCGAACACCGUCGUGCGCGAGCUUCGUCGACUGGGAGCCAAAGACCCCGUCUUGAAGCGACCCCAGGUCAGGCGGGAACACCCGCUGAGUUUA